This 253-nucleotide ribosomal RNA is filed under the name uncultured bacterium. RNAcentral describes it as "partial 16S ribosomal RNA". It matches the Rfam family "Bacterial small subunit ribosomal RNA", at positions 524 to 776 of the family's 1533-position model. The record is from RNAcentral.
UACGUAGGGCGCAAGCGUUGUCCGGAAUUAUUGGGCGUAAAGAGCUCGUAGGCGGUUUGUCGCGUCUGUCGUGAAAGCCCACGGCUUAACUGUGGGUCUGCGGUGGAUACGGGCAGACUAGAGGCAGGUAGGGGAGAAUGGAAUUCCCGGUGUGGCGGUGAAAUGCGUAGAUAUCGGGAGGAACACCGGUGGCGAAGGCGGUUCUCUGGGCCUGUACUGACGCUGAGGAGCGAAAGCGUGGGGAGCGAACAGG